RNAcentral lists this unclassified non-coding RNA (221 nucleotides) under uncultured Actinomycetes bacterium. RNAcentral describes it as "uncultured actinobacterium contains 16S-23S intergenic spacer region". It matches the Rfam family "Bacterial small subunit ribosomal RNA", at positions 976 to 1195 of the family's 1533-position model. Lineage: Bacteria; Bacillati; Actinomycetota; Actinomycetes. The record is from RNAcentral.
UGGGUUUGACAUGCACUAGACAUCCCUAGAGAUAGGGCUUCCCUUGUGGUUGGUGUGCAGGUGGUGCAUGGCUGUCGUCAGCUCGUGUCGUGAGAUGUUGGGUUAAGUCCCGCAACGAGCGCAACCCUCGUUCCAUGUUGCCAGCGCGUUAUGGCGGGGACUCAUGGGAGACUGCCGGGGUCAACUCGGAGGAAGGUGGGAUGACGUGUGGAAUGUCGAUA